Molecule: transfer RNA, 75 nt
Filed under: Actinomycetes bacterium
Lineage: Bacteria; Bacillati; Actinomycetota; Actinomycetes
Description: Actinobacteria bacterium tRNA-His
Source: RNAcentral
GAGGCCGUAGUGAUAGCGGCAGCACGCCGGGUCGUGGCCCCGGUAGGUCGGGUUCGAGCCCCGACGGUCUCCCCA